ACGCCCGGCCUAUCCCCCGAGCAGGGGGAUGGCGCCAGCAACCCAGCUCCGCCAGCUGAGGUGGGAACCAGAGGACGGGGCGGGUCCCGCUCCUCGACGGGGGCGUGGCCUGUAGGCCACCACGCGGUGGGCGGGCGGUGGGCGUGGCCUCGGCCACAGUUUCCGGGGAGGCCACGACAGCGUCCCUGAAGCCAGGUCCCGGGGUCGAGGCCUCACUCUCACCUGAGCGAGGCUGGACUGGGCCCGGGCACUCGCGCGCCUCGGUUUCCACACUUGGAACCGUUUUAGCCAGCCUGGGGCUGCCUUUGGAGUCGCAGCUGCUUGCGCCUUCUCUCCUGAGGUGGCUUUUCCGAGGAAAGUUCUUCAGAGCUCCAUCUCACUUCAGGGAUCCGCUCCCCAUCAGGACCCUUCAGGAAUGCACUUGGACGGAGAUUAAGUAAUUUGAUAUCAUACAGCGAGUAACUAGCAGGACCAGGAUUUGAACCUGAGUCUGACUCCAGAGCUCAGGAACCCACUUAUUCUGCCUUCUUCUCUGUGCAGACCACUUUCAAGGAUCUAUGAACACAAACAGAAGUACCCUGCUUUGGUCUACUUCAGAAGCUGCAAGUAGGCUGUGGUAAAGCAGAAAAUCCAGAGGAAUCCACACUCUGAACCAUAUAUCUUUUGGAUACCCAAUGCCUGGACUCCACUAUAGACCUACCAGACAUCUAACUCUGCUUUCGCAAGACCCACUCAUGACCUUGUCCACCUACUUCCCCAGAAGAGGCUCUUGUGAGUAAACUCUUGAGGCAACUGAAACCAGAUUGACCCAAGGACUGUUUAGCUUCUCUCGCUCCUGGAUGCCUUCCAACAUUGCCCUUUCAUUUUUUGCUAGAUUUAUGCUUCUACGGAAUACACAUUGUUUAGAAAAAUAUACAUAAGUGGUUAACCUAUCAAGAAAAUCAAGAGAAUGAUUAGCACAAAAGUCAAGAUAAUGAUUACUUCUGGGGACGAGGUUGGAGGUUUUAUUUAGGAAAGAACAUUUGGAAGACUUUUGAGGUACUGGUUAAUGUUCUGUUAAUCUUUGUGAUAAGUAUGUGGGUGUUAAACAUACUAUAUUUUCAACUUUACAUGUAUUUAAAAUACUCCUCCAUACAUAUAAUACACUUUACAAUAAAAAUUUGCAUACCAAGCAGAGCCACCCUGUGAAAUAUUGAAAUCAUAUGUUCAUAUGUACCUUCUGGGCCUUGAACAGAGGGAACUAUG
Zalophus californianus (California sea lion) is the source of this 1245-nucleotide long non-coding RNA. RefSeq lists it as uncharacterized. Lineage: Eukaryota; Metazoa; Chordata; Mammalia; Carnivora; Otariidae. The record is from RefSeq and is a predicted model, not a curated record. The transcript has 4 exons.